RNAcentral lists this ribosomal RNA (252 nucleotides) under uncultured Enterobacteriaceae bacterium. Its description in RNAcentral is "partial 16S ribosomal RNA". It matches the Rfam family "Bacterial small subunit ribosomal RNA", at positions 1131 to 1382 of the family's 1533-position model. The record is from RNAcentral. Lineage: Bacteria; Pseudomonadati; Pseudomonadota; Gammaproteobacteria; Enterobacterales; Enterobacteriaceae.
CCGGGAACUCAAAGGAGACUGCCAGUGAUAAACUGGACGGAAGUGGGGAUGACGUCAAGUCAUCAUGGCCCUUACGACCAGGGCUACACACGUGCUACAAUGGCGCAUACAAAGAGAAGCGACCUCGCGAGAGCAAGCGGACCUCAUAAAGUGCGUCGUAGUCCGGAUUGGAGUCUGCAACUCGACUCCAUGAAGUCGGAAUCGCUAGUAAUCGUGGAUCAGAAUGCCACGGUGAAUACGUUCCCGGGCCUU